GUCACAGUGACUGAACUGAUACUGCAGCUGCUCACACACUUUCACACACUUUCACACACACUCAACCAACAAAAAUGACUUUCAGCACCAUAUUGAUCUGGACGCUGGCAGUAUUAUGUCGAGAAUCUGUUGGUCAGGUGACAGUGACUCAAACUCCCUCAGAGCUGCUCUCUCAAACUGGACAAUCAGUCACUGUAAACUGUAAAUUUAAUAGUGAUCCAGUCUCCUGGUGUAGUGGACAGUGUCUUGGCUGGUACUUACAGAAACCUGGAGAAACUCCUAAACUCCUGAUUUAUAGUGCAAAAACCCUCCAGUCAGGAACUCCAUCUAGAUUCAGUGGCAGUGGAUCUAACAGUGAUUUCACUCUGACCAUCAGUGGAGUCCAGACUGAAGAUGCUGGACAUUAUUACUGUCCGAGUUAUCACUACAUCAACAGUAAAUGGAUGUUCACACAGUGAUAAAGAGUCGUACAAAAACCUCCGUCAGUCAGAGUCACAGUGACUGUAGAGUUGUGACGUUCGCGAACGAACCGAUUCUUUUGAACGGCUCAUAAACAUGAACGAUGGGAGCCGAGUCGCGGCUGGAGGGGAGCCGUUCUUUCUGUCGUUCUUUUUUCCUAUGCGUGUUUCACACAGAUGCACACAAAUGAGCUCCUCCGCGAGACAGAACAGUUAUAGGGGGAGGGGCGCACCCAGCGCAGAUAUUAGUUAUUAGUUGAGCACGCAUCCUUCACGUGAGUACUCCAGUGGAAAAAAACCCUGCGUUCCUCUGUCAUUGGGUAGGAGCGGAAGUUGAAGGGGCUGAUGUCCUAUUUGCAAAGUUUACAGUAGUAAUAGUAUGUAGUAUGUAGACAUUUCCAUUUUAUUUAUUCUAAUUUUAUCUACUUUAAAUAUUUUUUGUUUUCUAUCAAAAUGUUCUUGUGUGAUAACAAUGUUCUUGUGUGGAAGUGUUUGUAGUAAAAGCUGUUUUGCACAGAAAUUCAUUGUAGCCGGCUUUGUUUUUGAUGUUUAUUUGUGAGUAGGUAUUGUAUGAAUAACAAAAGUCAACGUAGCUUUACACACACACACACACACACACACACACACACACACUUUGUACUAAAGGUAAAUCCAAAAUAGUGAUGUCACUCUCUAAGCAGAGGGAUUUGUGCAACCCUAUGGAAUAUAGUCCACACAUGACAAAUGAGGUAAUAAUCAAUAUUUCAGAAUAAUUCAAACUCAGAUAUUGGUGUGUGAUAUCCGAGUUUUAAUUAUUUGACUACAAAUCUCACCUCAUCAUUCCUCCCAGUGAUUAUUUCCAGGAUAAACUGAGAUGCCCCCAAGCUGGCUUCUUAAAACUGACUAAAUAUUUAAAAAGAGCCAAAAGAGCCGUUCUUUUGAACGGCUCUUUGAAAGGAACGGAUCGCGAAGAUCCGGAUCCCCUCAAAGAGCCAUAAAUCCCAUCACUAAGUGACUGAACUGAUACUGCAGCUGCUCACACACUUUCACACACUUUCACACACUACUGACACACAGAGGACAAACACAGGAACUACACAUGUGCUCAAAACUGACUUAUGACUGAAAUCAGCUCUAUUAGACUGUGAUCUGUCCUGUGACAGACGGGUUU
This is a non-coding RNA of Megalobrama amblycephala (Wuchang bream), 1608 nucleotides long. NCBI's taxonomy places the organism in Eukaryota, Metazoa, Chordata, Actinopteri, Cypriniformes, Xenocyprididae. The record is from the annotation of a RefSeq genome assembly.